This 92-nucleotide ribosomal RNA is filed under the name Pectobacterium brasiliense. RNAcentral's name for it is "Pectobacterium carotovorum subsp. brasiliense partial 16S ribosomal RNA". Lineage: Bacteria; Pseudomonadati; Pseudomonadota; Gammaproteobacteria; Enterobacterales; Pectobacteriaceae. The record is from RNAcentral.
ACAAGGUAACCGUAGGGGAACCUGCGGUUGGAUCACCUCCUUACCAAGAAGAUGUGUGUUAAGUGAAGUGCUCACACAGAUUGUCUGAUGAA